RNAcentral lists this ribosomal RNA (157 nucleotides) under Staphylococcus aureus. Its description in RNAcentral is "partial 16S ribosomal RNA". It matches the Rfam family "Bacterial small subunit ribosomal RNA", at positions 557 to 714 of the family's 1533-position model. Lineage: Bacteria; Bacillati; Bacillota; Bacilli; Caryophanales; Staphylococcaceae. The record is from RNAcentral.
GGCGUAAAUCGAGCGUAGGCGUUUUUUAAGUUUGAUGUGAAAGCCCCCGGCUCAACCGUGGAGGGUCAUUGGAAACUGGAAAACUUGAGUGCAGAAGAGGAAAGUGGAAUUCCAUGUGUAGCGGUGAAAUGCGCAGAGAUAUGGAGGAACACCAGUG